AACGAACGCUGGCGGCAGGCUUAACACAUGCAAGUCGAGCGCACUCUUCGGAGUGAGCGGCGGACGGGUUAGUAACGCGUGGGAACGUGCCCAGAUCUACGGAAUAGCCUCGGGAAACUGAGAGUAAUACCGUAUACGCCCUUCGGGGGAAAGAUUUAUCGGAUUUGGAUCGGCCCGCGUUAGAUUAGGUAGUUGGUGGGGUAAUGGCCUACCAAGCCUACGAUCUAUAGCUGGUUUGAGAGGAUGAUCAGCAACACUGGGACUGAGACACGGCCCAGACUCCUACGGGAGGCAGCAGUGGGGAAUCUUGGACAAUGGGGGAAACCCUGAUCCAGCCAUGCCGCGUGAGUGACGAAGGCCUUAGGGUCGUAAAGCUCUUUCGCCAGGGAUGAUAAUGACAGUACCUGGUAAAGAAACCCCGGCUAACUCCG
RNAcentral lists this ribosomal RNA (431 nucleotides) under uncultured Paracoccaceae bacterium. RNAcentral describes it as "bacterial SSU rRNA". It matches the Rfam family "Bacterial small subunit ribosomal RNA", at positions 29 to 505 of the family's 1533-position model. The record is from RNAcentral. Lineage: Bacteria; Pseudomonadati; Pseudomonadota; Alphaproteobacteria; Rhodobacterales; Paracoccaceae.